This 74-nucleotide transfer RNA is filed under the name Candidatus Taenariivivens baikalensis. RNAcentral describes it as "tRNA-Arg". It matches the Rfam family "tRNA". From Rfam's summary of the family: Transfer RNA (tRNA) molecules are approximately 80 nucleotides in length. Their secondary structure includes four short double-helical elements and three loops (D, anti-codon, and T loops). Lineage: Bacteria; Pseudomonadati; Candidatus Omnitrophota. The record is from RNAcentral.
GCGCCCGUAGCUCAACUGGAUAGAGCGUCAGCCUCCGGAGCUGAAGGUUGAUGGUUCGACCCCAUCCGGGCGCA